This 440-nucleotide ribosomal RNA is filed under the name uncultured Hyphomicrobiales bacterium. Its description in RNAcentral is "bacterial SSU rRNA". It matches the Rfam family "Bacterial small subunit ribosomal RNA", at positions 338 to 795 of the family's 1533-position model. Lineage: Bacteria; Pseudomonadati; Pseudomonadota; Alphaproteobacteria; Hyphomicrobiales. The record is from RNAcentral.
CCUACGGGGGGCUGCAGUGGGGAAUCUUGGACAAUGGGGGAAACCCUGAUCCAGCCAUGCCGCGUGAGUGAUGAAGGCCCUAGGGUUGUAAAGCUCUUUCGCCAGGGAAGAUAAUGACGGUACCUGGAUAAGAAGCCCCGGCUAACUCCGUGCCAGCAGCCGCGGUAAUACGGAGGGGGCUAGCGUUGUUCGGAAUUACUGGGCGUAAAGCGCACGUAGGCGGCUAUCCAAGUUGGGGGUGAAAUCCCUGGGCUUAACCCAGGAACUGCCUUCAAAACUGGAUGGCUAGAGUCCGAGAGAGGUGAGUGGAAUUUCCAGUGUAGAGGUGAAAUUCGUAGAUAUUGGAAAGAACACCAGUGGCGAAGGCGGCUCACUGGCUCGGUACUGACGCUGAGGUGCGACAGCGUGGGGAGCAAACAGGAUUAGAUACCCCAGUAGUC